This 913-nucleotide long non-coding RNA is filed under the name Homo sapiens (human). Its description in RNAcentral is "HSALNT0080704". Lineage: Eukaryota; Metazoa; Chordata; Mammalia; Primates; Hominidae. The record is from RNAcentral.
UUUUAAUUGCUGCUGACAUGAAUGAACUCUCUGAAACAACAGCUGUGUCUUGAGAUUACAUUACAAGGCAUGUGAGCAGGAUGCAAAGCAUCCUCAUAAAAAGACAAAGCCAAAGAAGUCUUUUAUUGCUUCUGAAAAAUAUUCCCAAAGCUGGGAUGCUUAAUUUCAAUUCCUGGAGGAUGCAGCAAUCAUAUGUUUACAGAACAAAAUUGAGAAACAACCUUUGUAUUUGUGGUGGCUGACAAGAAACAAAAUCCAGGUAGACAGUUUGGAUAAGAGUUGGAAAUCAGUCAGCAAGGUUAUACUUGUAUACAGCCUAAACAUUGGUUAGUGGCAAUGACAUCUGGCUAUUAAAAUAUUGUCCCAAGGUAUUAUUUCCUUUCUGUCUUUCUAGUCACAGAGUGUUUGCCACUGGGUAUAAAUUAUGGACAAAGGAGCUCAUUUAGAGAAAUAUUGACCUAGUCAUACUUUAAAAGUUUAUUACUACCCUGAGAGAAAUGAACCUUGUGAAAUUAUAACUGCUGAACUACAACCAAGAUCCUUUCAAAGACAGACCUCAAGAGGAAAGGAAGAGAAGGUUAAGGUUGGAGGAGACGAAAAUCAAGAGUGCUUAAAGAAGAAUGAAGAGGACAAAGAAGAUAGGGAUUUAGUGAACAGACCAAUGGAUCUGACAUCAAGAGCCCUGAGCUACUUAUCCUGAAACCAUUGUAUGUGAGAAGCCCAGGCCACAUUGGAGAGGCCCUGGAAAUGCUGUAUGGAAAGAAAGAGAGGCCAGGGAGCACCAUGGCACCAGAUAUGGGGGUGGAGAAGCCAUCUUGAGUGUAUCCCACAGCUUCUACUGCUGCCAACCUGAGCAAAGAUGAAUCACCCAGCCUGGCCCUUCCAGAAUUCCUGACCCACAAAAUCAUGAAUG